AGACCUAGGCUCUCGCAGAGAACUGCAUCGCGCUCCCAGCUCUGCUGCCUCGGUGCGGGGACGGGGCUCUGCAUGAGGACUGGGAAUAGACCUUCACUGCUUCUAUCAGUCACCAUAUCUGAAUCUUGGCUUGCCACUCAAUCCUCCAAUAUCGACCAACAACAGGAGAUUCUCUCUAUCUGAGGGGGGAGGUGUGUUUCCCUGACUAGACUCUAAAUACAAAUCCUCCACUUCUCCAUCUGUCUCUCCAGUGAUCUCAGAGGCAUGGUCUUAACACCGCGCACAGUUCCUUGCAAGUUGAAGAGUAGACCCAAAUGAUCAGUUCUAAAAUUCUAUUCUUAUUGAAGAUUACUGGUGGAAAUAUCAAUGCAAACAAAAUGAAAAAGUUCAACAAUGAUUAAUACUGCAUUUCAACAGAAGAAUCAAAUCAUCUUGACAAAACUUCAAUGGGCAAAAUUUGCCUUGGGGAAUUUUAUGCAGGGGAAUCCUUGGGUCUGAUGUGUGGUGGGCUUUGGAUGUGUUGUGUAGCUCAGUGUCCCUUCCUGCUACUCCUAGUCAUCUCCAGAAACUCAGACCACCCAUCUACUAAAGGCAGGUGGAUGAGCAAGGGGGCCUCGGAGGCAUUCCGGAUCACACUGAACCUGAGCCCCACCGCCUGACCCACUCAGUGUCACUGUUAACAGAAACUCGCUGCCAUCUGGCCUCAGGCCUGCCUCCUUCCUAUAGAACUUGACACUGGAAGCACCAGGCGAGCUGGACCUUCUGCUGCUACUGCACUCCCAUGAUGCAGCCUGAGAAUGAAGCCCACCAGAGUGACAGAGAGCAGACCUGAGUGGUGAGCUGGUGACACAGGGUGUGGGUGGUGUCCCUUGAGCUUCGACACCACGCCACACCUGAAACCAGCCUGACAUCCAUGAUUUUGCUUUUUUGCUUAAACCAGUCUGCGUCAUUUUCAACAAAAGAGUUCUACUAGAUAUGACAAAUUUCUCUAGAAGACCUAAGAAGUGAAAGACUUGAAGCUAUUCCAGUGGUUCAGGAACUAGGACACUGGUAGGAAACUGGAAAGAAGGCAUCAGAGUUAAGGAAAUAUUUAUGAGGUCAACUCUGGAAGUCUUGGUUACUGAGUGAAUACAGUGGCUGAGAGGAAUGGAAGCAUCCAACCAAAUAAAAAAAGAUGGUGCUGAGAUUUGGGUUAUGAGGUCAAUGACUGAAGCAAUGCGAUUAACUGAGUUAGGAGUCUCAAAUAUAGGAUGAGUGCAGAGUUGAGGAUGAAGAAUUCUGCUUUGGACACAAUGAGUGUGAGGUGCCCAAGGAUAACCCAACGGGAAGCAGUCACACCAAAGCAACAGGGUGUGCACCUGAAACUCAGAAGGGUGAUUGGGCUAUGGUGAAGAUUCCUGAUCACCCAUAAAUGAAUUCAUUAAAAGCAUGAGAGUGAGUGGAGGGGCCCCUAGAAUAUGGUGGGUGCAUGAGACUAACCCUAGAUUGGGGAUAGCUCCCUGGGAAAUCCAAGGGACAAGGUGAGGAGGAGGAGGCGGAGCCCACCAAGGAAACUAGAAAGAGACCGCUGGAGAGGUCCGAGGACAGCAAGGAGCACAGCCUUCAAGUCUGGGAGCCAACUAUCCAAGAAGAGAGUGGUUUGCUAUGGAUGCCGUGGGCCACCACGUCCCAUCUAGGAAAGCAAGUUGAGGUCUCUCUUGAAUACAUUGGGAUUGAUUACCCAGACUUUAAAGAAUCUAUGUCCCCUACUUCCCUUCAUUCACUCUGCUCUUUACCUUCUCCUCUUCCCUGGUCACCAGCACCUCUGCUAAAGGGUGGAGAAAGGAACUUCUGAUCAGUUACAGAAAAGCUUUGGGGUUACGUGGUGCAAGCUGCUCUGCCUCUGUUUGUGAAGAAAUUAGACUAUGGCCAGCCAUGUGAGUGGCAUCACUUUGGUUUCUGGAGCAAUAGUUAGUAGCAACUUUUAGAGGUGGUCAUUUCGGUUCCCUUCUGGAAAGUGAUUCGUGUUUAAGAAAAAUAGAUGCAACGUUGCUAAGUACACCUAACAUUUAAACAGUCUCCAGCAGAUAAAUGCUGAUACUGACACUUCUCACCAGAAAAAGAGAAAUACCCAUCAUGAGGAAGAGAAAUGACUUUUGUUCAGUUAUGCUCCCGGGUCCCCUUUCACUGGAGGGAUAUCUCAGCUUUCUGAGCCCCUGGUUACUGCAAUCCUCGGUUCCAGAACCCAGCAAUUCCUAUCAUCACAAUUGUUUCAAGUCUUAUCCAAGCCCUGUAUAUUUCAGAUCAUCCUUAAUUUCUUGUUCUGUACCCAGAGGAGAUCAGGAAAACCUUUAAGUCUCUAUGUGAGGCAAAUACAUCCUCCUCACUGCCCCAGCCCCAUGUGAUUGAUGAAGCAACUGAGGAAGAGAAGUAGGGUGCUUCUGGCACUGGAGGAGCGCAGUGCUGAGAAACUCCGGGCUCCAUUCGGAAAUAGCACUGAUUUCUUAGUGUACUUUUUUUUGGUGUUAAUAUAGAAAACAUCAAAAACACAGUUAAAAGAAUGAAGCAUGUCUACAUACGUGUGGCCAGAAAGACUGACCAGAAGCUGGUAGCAGUGAGGGAUGACAGUGCUUGCCCCUGGGUUGAAUAGUGGAAGAGUUAGGGGGGAAACAGUCUGCUCUUUGAGACCCUUUCAAUUUCAUGUGAUGGAUUUACAGAGACAGAUGAAUUAAACAUUAUAUAAAAAAGGAAUAAAACCACUGGUAGGAUCUGUAUUCCAGGAAGAAAAAAGCAUAUUACAUAAU
Long non-coding RNA from Homo sapiens (human), 2783 nucleotides. Ensembl annotates it as long intergenic non-protein coding RNA 92. Lineage: Eukaryota; Metazoa; Chordata; Mammalia; Primates; Hominidae. The record is from Ensembl.